CCAGAAGUCCGCAAUGCGCGUGCGCCUUCUUCAGUCUGACUUGGCUUAUUAUUCCAGGGCCUUUUCGGCCACCGUAGCGAAGAAGAGGGGCUGUCUUGAGCUUCCGGCAAAUCUCCGGCAAGCUGAAUACCAUCCCUGGCAGUGGGAUGAACACCGGAAUAGAGGCCGAAGUUCGCUGCUGCUUCGGCGCCACCUGACCUGGAGUGACUGCUGAGUUCUGGGGACUACUCAGGGCCCCGAAGUCUGUGGCGGUAAGAACAUUAAAAAAGAAAGGAAGUACAGAGGGUGUGUAACAAUGGAAGAUUGCAUGGAAAGUUCUCCUUUGCUGUUAGUACAUCUCAGGAAAACAUUCAGCUGGAACAUAACCAGAUAAGGUGUUUUGGAAUAACGUGCCUUCAAGAGUUUAGACUCAUAAAAUGGGCCCAGAGCUGCUGAAAUGACUUGCAGUCCCAGAGCUGCUACAGUGACUUAGCAGUUGGCAAGGUGUCCCCUGAACUAAAGAAGUUGUAUAUUGGGCCAGAAGCAGACCUGGAAGAAGGUGAUGACAAAGGCCUGCCAACAGUGCUGAGACUGUAAGUUAAUAUCAUUCACAUUUCCAUCUUUGUAGGCAGCCUGUGAUGUGAGUUUGGAGACUGCCCAGAUGAAAGCCCUGAAUUGGAAUUCAAGAUCUUUGAAAUUAGCCCUGGCUCUAUCAUCACUAGCUGUGUGACCUUGGGCAAGUAAUUUAAUCUCUCAGAAGUCUGAGUUUCCUCAUCUGGAAGAAGAAUUCCAGUUCAACAUUCUGAUUUUUAAGAUGAAAACUGCCAAUCUGCACAUUGUGUGAGUGGCUAACAUCUGAAUAGCAUUUAAUAUUGUACGAAGCUUUUCUUCAGCUGCCUUGCUAUGCAGACAUGAUUACCAUAAUUUUCCCAGUGCAUAAAUGGUCUUGUAGGAUCAGGUGAAUUGCCCAAGGUCUCACAAUUAAUAAAUAGCAGAAGUAGGACUUGGACAUAAACCUACUGUCUCCAAAUUUGGUGUUCUUUUCCCUGGUCUGAAUUAGUGACUAGGUAAUCCAUAGGAUGUGAAAAAGAACACAAAAGUAAAGACAGUGGAUGGCAGAAAGAAAACAGCAGAGGAUUUAAAUCUUUGAGGAUUAACUUUGAAUCCAAGCUCUGCCAUUUACUGAUUUAGAGUCCUAGAAAAGCCAUUUUUUUUCCUGUUUGGCAAAAAUAGGCAGGGCUGACAGUCACCUCAGAAACAGUGGUACAGCCAUACUGCUUAUUAAAAUAUUGAAAUCCUUCUGUAUUAUUUGAUGACUAGCCAUUCCAUUUGUCCCCCUCCUUUCAGAUCCCCCCCAUAUUCCCAUGAUUGAGCAACAAAAGAGUUAAUGUGGGACCCAGCGGGGGGCAUUAAGGAUCCAUUCCAUUUCAGGGAGGUAUAGUUGGUCCCAAACCAUAUUGGUUGUUAAAUAUUUUUAAUAUCAAGAAUGAUUAGCAAUACUAAUGAUAACAUUCUUCCCCACUUCAGUGGGCUGCUGUUGAAGAUCAGAUAAUAUAAAACAAUGGAGAUGACAGAUCAGCUAUAAACCUUAAAAGCAAUGUUUAAAAAUGUCAUAGCAAUGACCUCUGGGGAAAAAAGUUCUGUUAUACAGAAAAUAAUGCAUAGGAUUUUACCUUGGUGAGAUUGUUGCCUAUUAGUCUAUUUAAGACUCUCAUAUGGUAAAGGAACUUAUUUUACAUCUUUAACUUUGAAUUUUCUAAUGUUUGGGAAUGGAACUCAUUUCUCAACCAUAAAACACCUAUCACAUUCUCUGCUGAUUUUGUGGAUUUUGGUUUUUGACCCUUAACUUACUGUUUUCUAUAUCUUUACCUAUUCUUAUAUAGUAUGUCUUUCUGUGCAGUGGCUCACAUGGUCCCUACCCUAGAUGCUGCUUUAGUCCAGGGUUAAAGGCACUCAACUCCCCAUGGCAGGUUUAUCACAGAGCAGAGGUCUCUAGAGUCCAGCUAUCCUAGAAUAACAAGAAUAAGGAAAAUGAUAGCAUCAUCAAAAACAAUGGCAGGACAUAUUUACUGAGUGCUUUUUACAUGUUGAGGACCCUGCUGUGUGCUUUACAUAUUCUACUGAUCAUGGUGCUUGACUCCAUUUUACCCCACAUGAUUAGUCUAAGCUAGGGGUCAGCAAACCACAGCCUGCAAGCCAUCUAGUCCCUGGCCUGUUUUUGGAGGACCAUGAGCUAAGAAUAUUUUUUACAUUUUUAUAGGGUUGAAAGAAGAAGAACAUGCUACAGAGAUUGUGUGUGGCCCACAAAGCCUAAAAUUGACAUUAUUUUGUCUUUUACAGAAAAGUGCCAAUACCACUUUCCUUACUAGUGAUUGGAUUAAGUUAGGCAUGUGGUCCAUUCAGACAACAAAUAGUUAUUAAGUCCUAACCACUGUUUUGAAUGUUGGGGAUACAUCAGUAAGCAAAACAGACAAAAAUUCCUGCCUUCAUGUAUCUUUAUUGUAGUUUUAGUUAAUGAGAUAUAAGUUUGUGGUUGUUUGGUAAAGGUUUCUCACAUUUAAGUAGGCAAUAGUGAAAAAGAUAUUCCUUUCUACCUCUAAGUGUUUCUUUCUUUAAAUGUGAUACUUCUAAUUUAUGAUCAUGAGGGGAGCCAGCUCAAGACAGAGUUAACACAUCAAAGGGGACAGAAGAGAAAGUCAGAAAGAAAUUAAUUAAGCUGCUGAGUCAAUCAACCUUGAAAUCUGCCACACCUAAGACCUACUAAUAUAUAAUGUUUUCUUUGUUUUGGUUUUCUAUGGCAUACUUAUACACAUAUGUUACUCAAUUUAAUCCUUAUAACAACCCUAUGAAGUACUUACUGUUCUCAUUUUGCAGAAGACAAAUGUAAAGAUCAGAGAAAUUAAUUAAUUUCGUAGUCCGCAGUUAGUGGAAGAGCCAUGAUGGAAACCUAGGUCUCUCUAGGUCUCUCAGGUCUCUGGUUUCUCUCUCUCAUGGACUUUCUAAGCAGUGAGAGUUGUUAGAGGAAAAGGCAGGAAGCCAACAUGAGGACAGUUUUUAUAUCCUGAGCCUGUAUAUAGACUGCAUUACUGAGUUUCAUCCUUUUGCUUAGACCUAGAACAAUGUUUCUUGACCCCCAUCCCACAAUGAGAAGGUAGCAUUUUUCCAUUUAUUGAGAAGUCAUUACCCUUAGACGGUUGUAUUAAUAUAUAUAAGGAACCAAGCACUGAAAUCUCCCAGGAAGGGGCAGAUCUAUCAAUUUCUCUCCAUUUUUCCCACCACCAUUUAGAUCACUUCUCACUUGGUCUGCUGCAGUAACAGACUCGCACCUGGUCUUUGUUCGUUUCACUGUGGCCUUCUAAUCCACUCUCUACACUGUAACUGGAGGAUAAAAACAAAUUUUCAAUAUGGUCUGUAAAGACUGUUCAGCUUCAUAUUUCCUCAGGCACCCUCCUGCUUUCUCUGUUCCAGCCACACUGGCCUUGAUUGGCCAUCAGCUUGUGCCUGGAAUGAUCUUUCUUUUUAUGCCCAAUAAACACCUAUUUGUCUUGUGGAUAUCUAUUCAAGUUUUCCUUUUUCAUGCAAUCCUUUUCUGAUCUCCCUGACUGGAUUGACCCCUAUUGUUUGUCCUCAUCAGGCCAUGUACCUCCCUUCAAAGCACAUGGCACAAUUGUAGUUUUCCACUAGUUAAUGUGAUUAUCUGUUUAAGUUAUUUACCGUACUGUAUUUUAUGUUAUAGGAGAGCAGUGGCCACAUCAGUUACCAUUGUAAACCCACUG
Molecule: long non-coding RNA, 3755 nt
Organism: Aethalodelphis obliquidens (Pacific white-sided dolphin)
Lineage: Eukaryota; Metazoa; Chordata; Mammalia; Artiodactyla; Delphinidae
Exons: 4
Source: RefSeq, a predicted model, not a curated record